UACGUAGGGUGCGAGCGUUGUCCGGAAUUAUUGGGCGUAAAGAGCUCGUAGGCGGUCUGUCGCGUCGGAUGUGAAAACACGGGGCUCAGCCCCGUGCCUGCAUUCGAUACGGGCAGACUAGAGUUCGGUAGGGGAGACUGGAAUUCCUGGUGUAGCGGUGAAAUGCGCAGAUAUCAGGAGGAACACCGGUGGCGAAGGCGGGUCUCUGGGCCGAUACUGACGCUGAGGAGCGAAAGCGUGGGGAGCGAACAGG
RNAcentral lists this ribosomal RNA (253 nucleotides) under uncultured bacterium. Its description in RNAcentral is "partial 16S ribosomal RNA". It matches the Rfam family "Bacterial small subunit ribosomal RNA", at positions 524 to 776 of the family's 1533-position model. The record is from RNAcentral.